RNAcentral lists this unclassified non-coding RNA (948 nucleotides) under Hevea brasiliensis (rubber tree). The record is from RNAcentral. Lineage: Eukaryota; Viridiplantae; Streptophyta; Magnoliopsida; Malpighiales; Euphorbiaceae.
CAGGAUCAGUGGAUGGGAAUAAGAAGGAACAAUUUUGGCUCAACAGAAUCUUUGUUUGUCAUCCUUAGGUUCCUUGCACUUUCCCUUAUCCCGUGGGAAUCACAGCUUCACUGUAUCUUUGGCAAAAUCAUCUCUUGAUAAAAUUAGAGGGGUCUUGAUCUGCAGGUCACAAUAAUUUAGAAUCCAAGUUUUAUACUUGGCUUUGGCUAUUGAAUGAUUUGAUCGGUUUCUGUGGAGUAUCUGUCUCUCAAAACUCAAAAGAGUCAUGUCAGGCCCAAACGACGAUAACAUGUCUCCUCAUACUCAGCUUUCAUCACAUUUUUUUGGGGAUCUCCUCGAUUCCAUUAUUGUUGAUGUUGCCUCUGAGUGUCACCGGAUAGCAAAGUUGGGACUUGAUCGCAACCUGGAGGAAGAGGAAGAAGAAUUGAGAUUAUCAACACAAGCCCGUGUUAGGGCAGCUGAUCCUAGUAAUAGUGGUGAAGCAAAUAGCAAGUAUGUGGUUGACAUUUUUGGACAAACUCAUCCACCUGUUGCAAAUGAAAUAUUUGAGUGCAUGAAUUGUGGGCGAUCAAUCAUGGCUGGGAGGGUUGCUCCUCCUCUCAUUUGGAAAAGUGCAUGGGAAAGGGUAGGAAGGCUCGACUCAAGGCAACCAGAAGUAGCACAGCAGCACAGAACCGGUAUUCACGAGGCAGCCCUGUUUCCACAUACUCUCCUUACUCAAAUUCAUCCAGCACGAACAGGUUAUCAAAUGGAACACCUGGUGUUGCAGGUGAAGAGUAUUCAAAUGGCACAUUAGAGGAGCCAUGAAGCACUGUUUAUGUUAGGUUGGCUAACAAGUCAUAGAAAAGCAACACACCUGGGGAUUCUUUUUCUUUUUAUAAAUCAUGAGCUUAAUUAUGGAUUUUUAAAGCAUAAUCUAUCACUAACCAUAUUUACUGAUAGAUUAUG